This 173-nucleotide ribosomal RNA is filed under the name Chama congregata. RNAcentral describes it as "5.8S ribosomal RNA". It matches the Rfam family "5.8S ribosomal RNA". From Rfam's summary of the family: 5.8S ribosomal RNA (5.8S rRNA) is a component of the large subunit of the eukaryotic ribosome. It is transcribed by RNA polymerase I as part of the 45S precursor that also contains 18S and 28S rRNA. Lineage: Eukaryota; Metazoa; Mollusca; Bivalvia; Venerida; Chamidae. The record is from RNAcentral.
UCUGUGCGGUGGAUCGCUCGGCUCGUGGGUCGAUGAAGAGCGCAGCCAGCUGCGUGAUGUAGUGCAAAAUGCAGGACACACAAACACUGAACAUCGACAUCUUGAACGCACAUUGCGGCCCGGGCUUCUCGGAGCCUGGGCCACGUCUAUUCGAGUGUCAGCUAAGUAUCCCC